This 9660-nucleotide long non-coding RNA is filed under the name Ananas comosus (pineapple). RNAcentral's name for it is "long non-coding RNA (ACOM_LNC000120)". The record is from RNAcentral. Lineage: Eukaryota; Viridiplantae; Streptophyta; Magnoliopsida; Poales; Bromeliaceae.
UUAUUAUAGGUAUAUAUAUAAUAAUGGAUAAUAUAGCUUUUAGAGAGAGAGAGAAAACAAAGAGAGAAGUUGCCCAAAAGUGAUAUAUAUGUAUACUUGGUGUGAGUUGUAGAUGUGUGUAAUACCCUCCAUUAAACCACCUUUAAUUAAUUUGCCCUUCUUUUUUUUUUCUUUCUUUUGUGUCCUGCUUUUGUCACCCAAGGACCUGUUGGUCAGCCUUGCACAUGCACAUUGUGACCAGCCUCUCCCCCUGAAUAAUAAAGUAAAAUAUAUUGUAGAAAAAGAAACAAUUUAAUCUCUCUCUCUCUCUCUCUCUCUCUCUCUCUCUCUCUCUCUCACACACACACAUACACACACACACACACACACAUGUAAUUAACAGGCCUCUUGAAGGAAAGUCCAAGGACCUAUCCUCUAUAAUUGCCCUUUGAGGGGCUCUUCCUUUGUGGGGUUUUUUUUUUGUUUUGUUUUUUUUUUUUUUUGUUUGUUUAAGUGUUUUUAGGGGUAAACCGUANUUUUUUUUUGUUUUUUUUUUUUUUUUUUUUGUUUGUUUAAGUGUUUUUAGGGGUAAACCGUAAUUUUCUGCAGGGACUCAAAAUAUUGCAUUUAAUUAUUCUGGAAUUUUAAUUUUAUUUUAUCAAAAAAAAUAUGCCGUUAAAUAAGAUAGUCAAGUUAAAUUUUUUGAAAACUCUAAAGUGCAUGAUGUUCUAUUUAACAAUUAAGUCAUUGCAGUAAAUUUAAAAUAAAAUUAUAGAAUACUUAAGUAUAACAUUUUAAAUCACGAGGACGAAAUACCUUGUGCGAUGAACUUGAACACUCUCGUGAUAAUCUGAUAGAUAAUCUGGCUGGAAAGAAAUAAUAUAAUUUUCAAAAAACAUAGCUCAGAACCUGUGGCAGUCAUCACGAAUAUCAAAUACCUUGUGUGAAACUAGAAAAUGUUUUGCGAUCACUGGACUUAACUUUUUCUUUCAUAUAAUUCCUUCCUUCUUUCUUUCUUUCUUUUUUUUUUUUGGCUCUUUUGGAGGCCUAGCUGUCUCACAUAUGUAGCUAAAUUCAUUUUUAUCAUAAAAUGAAGUGAGUAGUGUGCUACAUUAUUCUAAAAAGAAAAAAAUUAAAUCACAUAAUGGUAAAAUAAAAAUACACUAAAUUAUCUACUUAAUUAGGGUGGCAAAGUAAAAUUACCUAAACCCUACAGUGGCAUAAAUUAAAAUUUACUUUUUUAAAAAUUAAUGAAAAGGAGAACUCUCCACACAUUUUUACUUUGGUUGCGAUUCUAAGUAAUUGAAUCCGGCCAAAAAGAAAAUAACAAAAUAACAAGUUAUUUUCUAAAUAAUUUAUUUUAAUCGUACAUCUCACUUUAAAUUAAAUAUCUAACUAACGGGAUUGAAAUUAUAGAUCAGUUAAUUUGUUAUAUGGGUAAUGAUUAAAUGAAAAUGUGAAAUGUACGAUCAAAGUUAAUUUUAAAAAAAAAAACGAAAAAACUAUACUAAAGUUUGUAGUAAGUGGGUCCAUAAUCAACAUUGACUUUGUGGUCCAAAUCUUUAUGCUCUUCAAAUCAUAAACGGCCUAAAAAGCCCAACUAGCCCGUUAUGAUUAAUAUCAUGGGCCAAAUAUGGCCCAAGUUGGCCAACAUAUUCAAAUUUAAAUUGAAUUAAUUAAUGGUUUUAAAAUUUCUAAUCAAAAGUAAAUUGUAAUUAAUAGUUUUAAUGGAAAAAUUCAAAUAGCACCCCUGUGAUUUCACACUUUCUCACUUUAGUACUUUAUGAUUUAAAGUGUAUCAAUUUAGUAUUCUGUGGUUUCAUUUUUAUCUUUGUAUUAUCGAUCCCACAAAUUUUUUUCGUUAAAUCAGUGAUAAAGUUAAAAGUAAACGGUACUAAAAUAAAUAUUCGAUAAAUCUAGCUGGGUAUCUGAAGUUUUUGUAUAUAAUUUAACGAAAUAUUAACAAAAAAACAGAUGAAAAGAUAAAAAUAAAACUAUAAGACACUAACUUGAUACACUUUAAACCAUAUGAUACUAAAGUGAGAAAGUGUGAAAUUACGGGGAUGAUAUUUGAAAUUUACCCUUAUUUUAAUGAUGAGAAACAAAAAGUAAUUAUGCUUGUUCAAAUUGUAUUCCUCUAACUUGCCAUCCGAACCUCUCCUGCCCUAUUAAUAAAAUUGCAGUGGUUUAAUAUCAUAAUUUUACACUUUUUUAUUUCCCAAAAUUUUAAAACAAUAGAAUUUUGUAGCAAGAAUAGCGAAGUUUUUAAUUUUAUAAGUUCUAAUACCAAAAGCUAAAAUUGCAUUAAGAAAUUUUUCAGAGAUAAAAACUUACAAAACUUACGUGAACUAUGAAAUAUUUUGAAUCUGCUAUCCAAUUAUUUAAAAUUUUGAACAUUUCUGCUCGAAUAUUUCAAUUUGUUUGUUUUGAGUUAGUUAACGAUACUUUGGCUUUAAAAUUUAAACUAAUUACUUAUUUUAAUAAAUUAAUUAUUGCAAGAAUUGAAUGAAGUAUAUUAAUUAAAUCUGUAAUAAUAAACAAUGUAUUUAAAUUUUAAAAUUAAAAUAUUGUUUGCUUACUUUAAAUCAAAUAAAUUAAAAGUUUAUAUAGUAAAUUUAAAAAUUUGAAAGGUUGGAUAGUUAAGUCAAAAUGAUAUAGUAAAAUCUCAAUAUUUUUUUUUAAUAAAAUGCUUAUAAAUUUUAACCUUUGAAAAAACACAUUUAUUUAUUUAUUUAUUAUUUGUUUGUUACAUAAGAUUAGUGAUGCAUUUGUAUAAAUUAUAUUAUAUUACUAAGGAUUCCAUUAAUACUUUCCUUGGGGAAAAGUAACCCACAAAACAGGGUAAAAAAAAAAAAAACAAAGAACGAUGUGGCGGAGAUCCGCCUCUUUCGUCGUCGACAAAAGGUACUACCAACACGACGAGCUCCCCCUCGCCAUGGACCCCCAAAACCCUAACCCUAACCCUAACCCUAAUGCCAACCCCCUCUCCGCCUACUACCUGACCCGCGCCGAGCACCACGCCGUCGUCACCAGCGACUGGCUCGCGCAGGCCCAGGCGGCCGUCGGCCGCCACCCCUCGCCGCCGCCGCCGCCGGAGACGAUCGCCGGCGGAGGCGGCGGGAAGGAGAGGGGGUUCGGCGUGAUCGACGAGUUCAACUACUGGAGGAAGAAGCCCGACCUCGCCGAGGCCGUGGCCGCGAUCAUGGCCCUCGCCGCGGUGAUCCGCUCCAGCGAGGCCACCACCAUGAUGGAGCUCGAGAUCGAGCUCAAAACGGCCUCCGACACCCUAAAGGUAUCGCCUUUAAACCUUAUCUACUAUCUCGAGCUUAAUAAGUUCCUGCUGUGUUGUUAGUAAUGCCUCAAAAUUAGAUCUAAAUGAUGGUUUCCUUUUGAGUAUUACAAUUAGAAACCCUAGAGUAUCGCCGAAGUUGCUGAAUUGGCGCAUAUAGCGAAAAAUGUCGGUUUCACUGGAGAAGUCCUUAGCUUGGGAACAAAAAUUUGUGUUUUGAUCUCAAUUUUUCGGCAAUUAUUUUCCUCCUUAUUGUUUUUUCCUUCCAAUUUUUCUCCGCCAAUUUUUAAUACUUGGAGAUGCCUCUAUAUUCACAUUCUGUUAGUUGAUUUAUGCUUAAAAUAGAAAAUCUUCACAAACUGUUCUUCAUUCCAAAAAAACAGCUUUGAGUGAUAUAGUAUUAGUUGAUGAUUUCCAGUAUUAGAUUAAUGCAAGCUUUUCGAAAAUGUUUGGCAAGUCAAAAUGUUUUCUUUCUUAAAAUUUCGAUGGAAUUCACUUUAUUAGAGUCUAUUGUAACAUUAGGAGUUAUGCUACUUUGUCUUUUAUUUCUCAUGACCUUAUUUACUGUUUACAUAACGGACAUUUUACGUCCGCAUUGCAGUCGUGGGAUACGACCUCUAUAUCCUUGUCGGCCGGUUGCGAUCUUUUUAUGCGAUAUGUCACCAGAACGUCUGCUUUGGAAUAUGAGGACUUCGAUGCUGCGAAACGUCGUUUAAUUGAGCGAGGAGAAAAGUUUGGAGAGAUUUCUCUAAAGGUUUAAAAUAUUUCAUGGAUUACCUCUUCCUUUACCGAUUUGCACUCCGGAAACUAAAUACAUGUGAAUUCCGUUUCACCAGGCGCGGAGAACUAUUGCCAUGCUUUGCCAGGAUUUCAUAUUUGAUGGCUGUACGAUUCUAGUCCAUGGUUUUUCGAGAGUAGUCUUAGAAGUUCUGAAGCUUGCGGCAUCUAAUAGGAAACUCUUUCGAGUUCUCUGCACAGGUCAUUCCACACAAUAGUUUGCUUCUUUUAUUUUUUUUGUGGCUGUGAAAACGGAUAACACUACCUGAACCGUAGUCCAUUUUAAGAUGGGUACCUGGACUCUAAACAGUUUUGAUUUUAAUACCUAAACUUUCAUUCUUUCGAUUUCAGCACGUCACCGUCAGAUACUAUCGGUUUCCGUAAUAUGAGUUUUCGACUAUUACUUCCGGUGAAAAAUAUUUUGAAGACUACAUACAUAAUAUUCUGUAAAAAAAGGUCUAAAAAAUUGUUGAUUCCUGAUGGCGAGGUAGUGAAAUCUAAGGAGAUUAGUACUGAAAUUAUAGCUUGUGGAGUUCAGGUACUCAUUUAAAAAAUAUAUACACGAUACGUCAGGUAGUGCCAGUAUGUUCUAACCUUUUCUUCCUUAAGUUUUCUAAGCUUUGAUCUCUAUGUGAUAUUAAUACCUUAAUAUUCAAAAAUGCAGAGGGAAGGCCAGAUAGAACAGGGUUACGAUUCUCAAAUGAACUUUCGGCACUAGGAGUCCCUGUUAAGCUUCUGAUUGAUUCUGCUGUGGCUUAUGCUAUGGAUGAGGUUGACAUGGUCUUUGUUGGUGCCGAUGGGAUUGUUGAGAGCGGAGGCAUCAUAAAUAUGAUGGGGACAUAUCAGAUUGCUUUAGUGGCUCAUAGCAUGAAUAAGCCUGUCUAUGUAGCUGCCGAAAGUUAUAAGGUACUGCUUUCAGAUCAUAUCGACCUUUAUCAUUUUCUUCGGGGUAAAAUGAAUAGAAUGUCCCUGUGAUCUCCUGAUAUUGAACUUGGUUCUUGACUUCUAACUUAAACAUUCUCAUCCCUAAAAUAUCCUAUAUAUUGAGAUGCACCUGGUGCCCUUUUGCAUCCAAAAUACUUGAUAUUCAUCAAUUUUAGUGCUCAGCAAGCACAUAACACUUUUCCAUAAUGUGACCAUUUUAUAAACUAGGGAAGUCAUUACAGUAUAUAGGGUUAAGGGCCACUUUCAGAAAAAGAGUCACUUGCUGAGCACGUGACUCAUUGGACAUCGGGUGCUUCAGACGGUUAGGAAUUUAAUUGCAAUAUAUAAGAGUAAACUACAGGGUACUUCUGACAGCUAAGUCGCAAUAUUUUUUCAGGCUUUUCUUUGCAGAUCUGUAUAUAAACGUAUAGGUACUUGCAUUUGUUGCUCUAAGCUUUUCUUUUCUUUUGGCUAGUUUAUCUUCACCCUCGAGAACUCAAACAUAGUCCUUUAUGUCGUUACCAAUCUCUUCGAGAUGACUUUUUCAAAUGCCAUCUUAACCAUGUGUUCUUGUUCAAACAAAGUUGAAAACUUGAAAUACAAGAAACAGGUUUUACUAUUGUAUCAUUUAGAAAUGCAAGCCAUUUUUUUUUUUCUACAUUGGUAUUCAAACUAAUUGAAUUAUUUCUAUAGGAAUAUCGAAUAGAUAAGAUGUAUUCUCGCUAAAUUUUAUCAUUUAGAUUUACGCUUUUGAAGGAUCGUCAGCUUGGAUUUAAUUGUGUCGACUUUUUUUGAUCAAUGUCUGAUAUCUUGCUGCUUAUAUGUAUAAAAAAAAAAUCCCAAAUUUUAUUCCUAAUCGAGUUCUUCGAUUUUCCUGCUUCCUUCAUUCCUGCGCGCCAUAGUUUGGCGGCUUUUGCACUUUUACCUGAAUAUCAGCUAUUACUACAUGAAAAGCAUGUUCUUAUUAUAGUGAUCAUUCUUGCAGUUUGCACGCAUGUAUCCGUUGGACCAAAAAGACCUAGCACCGGCCCUUCGCCCAAUAGAAUUUGGUGUUCCUAUACCACCCGGUGUCGAGGUCGAGAAAUCUGCGAGGGACUAUACUCCACCUCAAUAUCUUACGCUCCUUUUCACCGAUCUCGGCGCCCUAACUCCAUCUGUCGUAAGUGAUGAACUUAUUCAACUGUACCUAUGAAUCGUGUCUUCGGAAUCCGACUGCUAUGUUAUGCUUUGUAUUGUAAAAACUGGGUUUCGAAACUAUAUUCAUUUCAAAGAAAGGGAGUGAAAUGAAUGGAGAGAGUAUAUUUUGUAUUAGAAAACCAACAAAAUAGGGAUGAAGCCAUGUAUUUUAUUUAAUUUUUGUUCUGAUAUCAUAUGGCUCUGCAUGUAAAACAUUUUGCAGUGUUUUGGUCCGCACCUUGGCAAUGUAAAAUUGAUUUGAAAACAUUUCGGGAUUUGUCGCGCUCUUUUUCGGUUGGUUAUUAUGACUUUUCUGAUGUUUUUAUCAUUCUUUCUGAGUCCAAAUGCCAGAUAUUUGUUCAGGUUAUGUGUUGAGCAUUAGCAGGUUUUCAAUUACCAUUUCUAUAUUGGUGGUGGGAUGAGUUAUUCAGGAUGCUUUUUAAGAAUCCUAAGAAUAUCCUCGACAUACAUACAUACAUACAUACAUACAUAUGUAUCCGGCUACUAUACUAUUAUGAGUACGAUCGCCCUCGUACUCAUAAGUUGUUUUCGAUGAUAGAGCUUCUGAAUCUACGAUCCACACCGUUAAACGUUAUCUAGAGCAUUUGAAACAUCUAUAAAUUAAAUUUUAUAAUUUUUCGACAUCAUUUAUCUUACGAUCAAAAGCUCACAAAAUUGACAAUUUUUAACGGCUGGUAUGGAAUAUUUGCUAGUUUAACGGUGCAAAAGAAUCGGAAUAAGUUGAAUUUUUGAUAGAAAAUUCUAUUCACUAUCUAGAUAAAGAUCAAUAACUCUGAUCUUAAAUUGAAGAAGGAUCCGAUCAUCUAUUUUUAAAACAUCGUUCGAUUUUGACCGUUCAUUUUAUGCCCGCUUGAUGGAUUUUAUUAUGAUUUCGAAAAAUUACGAAAUUUAUUUUCUAGAAGUUUCAAAUACUUUAGAUCAUAUUUAACGGAGUGGAUCGUCGAUUCGAAAGCUCUAUUAUCGAAAACAACUUAUGAGUACCGAAGGGUCCAAUACUCAUAAUAGUAUAGUAGCCCCACUCUCUCUCUUUCUCUCUCUCUCUCUCUCUCUCUCUCUCUAUAUAUAUAUAUAUUGUAAAUAUAGAUCUAAAUCUUAUACCCGUUGCAUCAUAGGAUUUUCGAAAACUCAUUUGGAUUGCUCUUUUUAUAAAAUAUAUAUGUUGUUUAGAUUGCAAACCAUGAGUAACAGAGAAGGUUAAGUUAAAGAGAUAUGAGUUUGUUGUUAUAUAUACAAACUUUUUAGAAUACUAGUUGAAUGUACGUGCAAAUGCACGUAACAAUUAUUAUAAUUUAUUUUAAAUCAGUAUACAUUUGCAUAUUAUAUAUAUUCAAAAUUUUACAAUAAAAACUAUAUUUAUAAAUUAAUUUGUUAUAUUUUAUUAGAAAAUAUUUACAAUAUCUUACCGUGUUCUUUUAUUUAUAUAUAUAUACAUCAAACAUUUUUAUAUACUUUUUGAUUUUUGAUAAAUCAAAUUUAAGUAUGUGUUUUAAAUUAAAGCAUAGAAAUUUAUUUACUUUAAAAUUUAAAUUUUAAUUUUGAUCCACUGUAACAAAAAAAUUAAUUGUUGAUUCAAAUUUGAUAUAAAAAAUUAAUUAAAUUUAAUUUAUAAUUUAAACUCAAAUUUUAAUUUUAAUGUAAAAUAGAUUAAUAGAAAUGCUAUUUUUUUAACAAAUUGAUCAUAGCCAUUUAUUUUUGUUUGAGAUAUUUUUUAACAAAUUGAUUAUAAACGUAGGAUUGAAUUUAUAAAUGGAUAGGAAUGCUAUUUUUAUAUAAAUUGAUCAUAGCUGUUCUUUUUUGAAAUAUUUUUUUAACAAAUUAAUCAUAACCAUUUAUAGGGAAUAGAUUUCAAUAUUUAGUAGAGAUUUUAUAGAUUGAUCAUAACCGUUCGUUCUUAUUUGAGAUAUUUUUAACAAAAAAAAUCAUAAUCAUUGAUAGGGAAUAUUUUUUUAUUCUUUUUUGGAUUCUGUCUGUCAUUGUCGGAAUUCCUAUACCCUUUUAUAUAUAGUAUAGAUAUAGAUAUAGAUUAAUAGGAUAGCUUUCCCAAAGGAGGAUUAAAACUAUCCUAAACUAUUAUAAUAUAUAAAUAUCGGAUUAUUCUCAACUAACAUUAUCCCAAAUUAUAUCAUUAGCUCAAAAGUUUUGACAAUAUAAACACAUAUAUGUUUCUAUGAUCUCUUUAUUUUAUUUUUUUUUUUUACCAAUGAUUAAUCAAGAAUUAAUCUACCUCUAAUUAACAUCUUAUUCGAUCCACUCGCGAAAAAACACAAUAAACUUAGACUUCAUUAAUCAAACAAGACGAGAAUUACACCCUUAGCCUGGUAAUUGUGAUGCAACUCCUUAAAAACACUAAACACAAAUUAAACACAAAACGCACGUAAAAGAGUGGGGACAAAAAAAAAAAGAAAAAAGUAGAGCUAGUGCAUGAAUGCUCGCGUUUCUCAUUCAUGGUUUGAUCUCUUGGGAAGCAACCGAGCUCGGAGCUCCGCGGCGUCGACCUGGUCGAACCGGUUCUCCGGUACCCAGUAUCCCGUUUUCGGGUCCCUCAUCCAGAACACCUCCUUUCCCUCCGCUGCCGCCUGCUUCGCGGUCGUCGCACCCUCCGUCCUCACCACCGUCGAUGUCGCUGCAUGCGCAGCAUGCGAACUCUCCGUCGCGAUGCUGUAGCAACGUCGACAACUGCGACAAAGAAACAAAACAAAAUUAAAAAACAGCUUUAUGAUCAUGAUAACAACAAUUGCAAUAACACAGCAAGAACAAGAAGAUCGGAAGAAGAAGAACAAGGAGAAUAAAAGGAAGGUGCGUGUGUGUAAGUGCAACGUGUAAACUUACGUGAGAGAGAGCAUCUUAGAGAUGAAAACCCUAGACAUUGUUACAGAGAGAGAGAGGGCUAGAGAGAGAAGAGAGUGUGUUAAUUGUAAAGUGAUUGGUACGUAAUGAGUGUAGGGUUUAAGGGGUUUAUAUAGAGAGAGAUAGGAGAAUAUAUUCUAGCAAAGUAAUUUAAAGUAGCGCGGCGCGUCUUAAAAUAUAACGAAUUAGGAUUCGCUGCACGUCUCCUAUCAAAGUUGUUGCAAGGUCUUCUAAUCUUAUUCCUUAUGGCAAAGUCGUUGCAAGGUCUUCUAAUCUUAUUCCUUAUGGCAGCGUUUGGUUAGGGAAUAGGAAUAGGAAUAGGAAUAGGAAUAGGAAUAGACUCUUAUCCCCCUUUAUACCUACUAAUUUUUUAUUCGAAAAUAGUAGUUCUCGGUUAUCCCCACCAACACCUUCAUUUUCUAUAUAAAACUACCUAAAAUUAUUUUUAUAUCCGGAAACAACCCAAUUUUCAUCAAAAUACUAUUUUUCUUAUCUCCAUACUUGUACCUAUUCCUAUAAUAACUAGCUCUUACUUAUACCCGAACCAAACGGUAUAAUAAAAUUUAUAUUGGUAUUUAUUUUGAAUGGAAUAUGAGACGGACGGCUUCGAUGUUUUUUGGUGUUGAUGAAUGGUCGGAAAAUUUAUG